This is an RNA transcript of Humulus lupulus (European hop), 1383 nucleotides long. It is a transcript of the gene named pyridoxal reductase, chloroplastic, with no coding region annotated. The transcript has 9 exons. The record is from RefSeq and is a predicted model, not a curated record. NCBI's taxonomy places the organism in Eukaryota, Viridiplantae, Streptophyta, Magnoliopsida, Rosales, Cannabaceae.
GUCGUUGGUUGACUUUUGUGUCUAACGAAUUGCCACCACAUAUUGACAUAAUCGUAGCACUGCUCACCUGCCAGAGUCUCAUUCUUUUCCGGUUAUGGCUUUUUCAAGCUCAACAACUCCCACAGCAUACUUCAACUCAUUCACUCCUUCAUCUGGGCUUUCCCUUCCUUCUUCAUCCUCCAACCCUCUUAAGCUCCCUCUCUUCUGGCCAUGGCAGAAGGUGAAAGUGGGGCCACUGAGUGUGUCUCCAAUGGGAUUUGGGACAUGGGCUUGGGGCAACCAGCUUCUCUGGGGCUAUCAGGAAGCCAUGGAUGAUGAACUUCAGAGGACUUUCAAUCUGGCUGUGGAGAAUGGAAUUAAUCUCUUUGACACAGCUGACUCUUAUGGGACUGGCAGAUUGAAUGGCCAAAGUGAAAAACUACUUGGAAAGUUCAUCCGGGAGUUUCAAGGCCAAAAACGGGUUCAGGAUGACAUUGUAAUAGCCACCAAGUUUGCAGCAUAUCCAUGGAGACUAACACCAGGGCAGUUUGUAAAUGCUUGCAGGGGGUCACUAGAUCGUAUUCAAGUUGAGCAAAUUGGAAUUGGGCAGCUGCACUGGUCGACUGCAAACUAUGCUCCUUUGCAGGAGAUGGCCCUUUGGGAUGGUUUAGUGGCAAUGUACGAAAAGGGUCUGGUUCGAGCAGUUGGGGUCAGUAACUAUGGACCAAAGCAACUUCUAAAGAUAAACGAGUACCUUAAAGCUCGUGGAGUUCCCUUGGUUUCAGCUCAGGUGCAAUUCUCUUUGCUAAGCAUGGGAGAAGAUCAGUUGGAAUUAAAAAACAUAUGUGAUUCUCUUGGCAUCCGGGUUAUUGCUUAUAGUCCUUUAGGACUAGGAAUGCUUACUGGGAAGUACUCUCCUGAUAAACUACCACGAGGGCCUCGUUCAUUCCUAUUCAGACAAAUUCUUCCAGGGCUGGAGCCUUUACUAAGCACACUUAAUGAAAUCGCACGAAAGAGGCGCAAAACUGUGCCACAGUUUGCAGGUUGCUAUAAACUGGUGCAUAUGUAAGGGAACCAUUCCAAUUCCAGGUGUGAAGAGUGUGAAACAGGCAGAAGAGAAUUUGGGAGCUCUUGGCUGGCGCUUGAGUUCAGAAGAGGUACUUGAGUUAGAAUAUGCAGCCAGUGAAGCUCCCAGAAAGAUGGUUCAGAAUGUAUUUCAAACAAGGUGAUCCUUUCGAGUGACUAGCCGAGACAAAGGAAAAUGAAAGUGAUUUUCUUGUAGUAAAGGGAGAUGAAGACAAAUUUUGUACAAGUUCAUUUUACAAGAUGCAGUUUUCUUGAAUAAUUAGUUUCAUAGUUUCUUGUAAACUUACAUUAUAAGUGGAAUGAGAUUGCAUGCACUAA